CGAGGGAGGCGGGCGCAUGGGCAUGUAAUAAUGACAAUGAGCGGGGCCCCUCAUUAGUUUAUUUAUUUUUCUUUUUAUUGGCUGAUCUUCCUUUGGGAUCAUAUACCCAACCUUAGAUUUGGGAUCUUCAGAAGAAUAUAUGGCUUUGAGAAUUGCCAACAAUGACAUCACCUGUCUCUUGGAAAAAAAAAAAAAAGAGAGAGAGAGAGUAAGUGUGACUUCUACACAUGGAGAAACCUCAAAAACAGCCAGCUGUAGGAGGAAGUUCAGGAUUUGUCAAACCUGUGGAAAGCCUGGGAAUUCCCAUGGGGAGAGGGAGGACAUCCUGCCAUGGAGGUAUGUGAUCCUCCAGCGUAAACAAGGUGGAGCUCCAGCUGGCAGCAUAGGGGCUGGCUUUUGGGUGUAAGACCCUGGGAUCUAUUUGCAGUUCCAAAGCCUAAGACAAGCCUUUGCCCUAGAAGUAAGGAUGCAGGACAACUGUCAAUUUUUGGAAUGAAAGUUGUCCCUAAUCUACACUGUUCCUCCGGUGGUCACAGUGAUGUUGGGUGGUGUGGUUCUGUACUUAGUGAUAAACAAUCUAGUUGUAUUAAUCUGCUUGGAAAGGUGGGUGUAGCAGAUGGAUAAUGAUUCCUGUUCUGCAAGCAUCCACGUCAUACACAGAUCAUAGAUUCAUUCCAUCAAUCUAGUUGAGACCACUCCAAUACCAGUAAUCCAAGAGGAACAGGUCACUCAUUCAGUCUGGUUGGCAUGCUGGAUCUGUGGCUAACAGUUUAGCUCUGAUAUGUAGCAGUUCUCUUUGGGCUUCAGCUUCAACGUUGUAUCAACUGACCACAUGCGGUGGUCUCCUCAUGGGGCCAUCAUCUAAAGCUGUUUAUUACGUUUUAUGUUAGAUCAUCAAUAUAAACCGGCAAUGGUUUUGCUGAACAUACAGCCUGAGGCUCAAUCUCUUUGAAGUUCUCCACUCCAAAGCAAAUUAUCAGUUGCUGCUGCAGCUUCAGUAAACCCUCCAACCUUCUCCCCAAAUAAUUUACAAGAAAGCCUGCAAUGGUAUAAAGCAUAAGAAGAGUCACAGGAUAGGACAGAGACACUGGGAAGGCAAUUAGAGUUAAUAUUCCUCUUCAGAAAUUAUCAGAGAAUGCAUCUGGAGCAAAGGAUCUAUGGCACAACACUGAAACAAAGAACGUUCUUUGUUAGCUGAAAUCUGCAUUGUUUCAUGCACUGGCACUUCCCAAACAGAAGAUGUAGGAGGUGGACUUCAUCAUACGGAAGAAUGUGUGGAAUCCCAGAAGAAGUCAUUCCAAGUGACAAAUGGAAAAUUGAGUGAGAUAUAAGACUGGCAAAUGACAAAGAAGAAAGCACGAGAAUACUUCACUUGUUUCAUAGUAGAAUAAAUUGCCGUUUUGGAUUUGAUUCUUAAUCUCACCUAAUGGCAGUCUUACUCUCAUCUAAAGGCAGAUUCUUACGCAUCUUAGAAUCCUAGGAUCAUAGAAUUGCUUGGGUUGGAAGGAACCUUAAGGAUCAUCCAAUUCCAACCCUCUGCCAUGGGCUGGUUGCCCCCACCAGAGCAGGCAGCCCAGGGCCCCA
Molecule: long non-coding RNA, 1584 nt
Organism: Numida meleagris (helmeted guineafowl)
Lineage: Eukaryota; Metazoa; Chordata; Aves; Galliformes; Numididae
Exons: 4
Source: RefSeq, a predicted model, not a curated record